Long non-coding RNA from Cyprinus carpio (common carp), 1047 nucleotides. The record is from Ensembl. NCBI's taxonomy places the organism in Eukaryota, Metazoa, Chordata, Actinopteri, Cypriniformes, Cyprinidae.
CACGGAUCCAUUUGAAAGCUGCAUCUAUCAAUGGAUUAGUGCAUUAACACAACGACCAAUUACCUGUUUAAGAAUCUUCUCAACAGGGCACUCAAAUUUUAGUGGGAAAUGGACCGUAAAAAUUUCAGUACCAACUGUUACCAAAGUCUGUACUUUUGACAACACUACUAAACAGAAACAACACAAAAGAUUAAUUCGUUUCGGAGUCUGAUUUCACAUCUUGGAUGAAUAUUUUAUAGCGGGAGAAUUCCUUUUCGAGAGCUGUUAAAAGAAUUGAAGCCAUAAAUAUUAUUCAUAAUCUAUUUUGGGCCAUAAGUAUCACCAAACAGAAAAAUAAUAGCUGAACAGGCUUCUGAAAACUUCUCAACAGAUUGUCCCGCCUUCAAACUCACUCGAGGAGUCAAUGAUGAGGGCUAGUAUUUUGGGGAUACCAAUACACGAAUGCCUUACAUGUAGGUAUAGUUGUCUACAAUUACACCUAGGACAGAAAGUUUAUUUUUCUUUUUUUUUUUUUUACAUUAACCAAUAUUAAUUUAAGUAUUGUAUUUGUUCUAGAUCUUCACAUGUGAUGUUACAGUGUUAAGACACUCACAGACUUGACAGCUACUUUCUGUUCUGAAAACAUCCCAAGUUUCAAUCUACCCUAGCACACAAACUUUUGAUGAGCAACCAGAAAAUAAUUGCCAUGUCAGAAAUGGCACAUUUUGAGACCCCUGGACAAUGCACUGAUUACCCCUUCUUUCUACUUUCUGACACCUGACCCCAAAGGUUCUGGACACACCAAUGAAUUCUCUGAGAAAAUAAGAAAUCCUGCUCUAUUACAGAAAAACCGUGAGGCUACAAAGACUGUUUCUUUUUGUUUGUUUGUCAGUUUGUGACAGUUAAACCAUGGGGAAAAUGAAAUGCUGUGAAACGGAUUGUCUUGAUUGUAGUAAUUUCUUUUUCAAGCUGAGAAAACAGAAAGGUCACCUAAGUGGCGUGCAUGAAUGGGGGGAAAAAAGAAGAUUACAGUUUUAAAAUAAACAUCUGAUUUACUCUGAUUUACCA